This is a microRNA precursor of Cyprinus carpio carpio, 88 nucleotides long. Lineage: Eukaryota; Metazoa; Chordata; Actinopteri; Cypriniformes; Cyprinidae. The record is from Ensembl.
UCUAAGCGGGUGCAGAGCUUAGCUGAUUGGUGAACAUGCACGCUUUGUUUUUUGUUCACAGUGGCUAAGUUCUUCACCUGAAAAGAAA